UGGGGAAUAUUGGACAAUGGGGGAAACCCUGAUCCAGCAAUGCCGCGUGAGUGAAGAAGGCCUUAGGGUUGUAAAGCUCUUUCGCCCGCGAAGAUAAUGACGGUAGCGGGAGAAGAAGCCCCGGCUAACUCCGUGCCAGCAGCCGCGGUAAUACGGAGGGGGCUAGCGUUGUUCGGGAUUACUGGGCGUAAAGCGUACGUAGGCGGAUGCGCAAGUUGGGGGUGAAAUCCCGGGGCUUAACCUCGGAAUUGCCCUCAAAACUGCACGUCUUGAGACCGAGAGAGGUAAGGGGAAUUCCAGGUGUAGUGGUGAAAUACGUAGAUAUCUGGAAGAACACCAGUUGCGAAGGCGGUCUCUUGGUCCGACACUGACGCUGAGGCGCGAAAGCGUGGGGAGCAAACA
RNAcentral lists this ribosomal RNA (402 nucleotides) under uncultured bacterium. Its description in RNAcentral is "bacterial SSU rRNA". It matches the Rfam family "Bacterial small subunit ribosomal RNA", at positions 355 to 774 of the family's 1533-position model. The record is from RNAcentral.